This 211-nucleotide unclassified non-coding RNA is filed under the name Hevea brasiliensis (rubber tree). The record is from RNAcentral. Lineage: Eukaryota; Viridiplantae; Streptophyta; Magnoliopsida; Malpighiales; Euphorbiaceae.
AAAGCCAGAGGAGAACCCAGCCAACUUGAAGCAAUUUGUGCUAAACAAACUUGAAAAUGCAGCAGAUCAACAUUUAAGGACAGUAGUAGAAGCAACUGAGCUAGAUAAUAUUGUAUCUUCUCCUCUAAGAUAUAGACAUCCGUGGGAGUUGAUAUGGGGAAAUAUAAGCAAAGGCAAUGUUUGUGUGGCUGGAGAUGCUCUCCAUCCCAUG